Molecule: long non-coding RNA, 387 nt
Organism: Tetranychus urticae (two-spotted spider mite)
Lineage: Eukaryota; Metazoa; Arthropoda; Arachnida; Trombidiformes; Tetranychidae
Source: RefSeq, a predicted model, not a curated record
AAGCUGAACCUUCAAUUUCAUAACUAAUCAAACCUUACUUACAAUUGUUAACAUCAAAUUGUGAAUUUUUCAAUCAGUUUCAACUUCACCAAAAACAAACUUCUAAAAGAUGAAUCCUGGAAAUCGCGUUAACCAGUGCAACCCAAACAACUUUGAAACCGGGCCUGGACGCAAUGCAGCUUAUUCUGGCAAGGGGGAUAAACCAGAUAAAGAUAACCACGCUAAUCAGUUGAACCCAAACAACUCUCAAUUUGGUGGUGGUAACACUAAAAAGUGACCAGCAAUUGCUAUCAAGAUCAAUCAAAGGCUAAUCUUUAAUCAAUAUUGGUUAACCUGUAUCUUCGAUAAAAUAUGAAAUCAUUAAAAUAAGUUUUUAAAUUCAAUAAA